GACGAACGCUGGCGGCGUGCUUAACACAUGCCAGUCGAACGGAAAGGCCCUGCUUUUGUGGGGUUCUCGAUUGGCGAACGGGUGAGUAACACGUGAGUAACCUGCCCUUGACUUUGUGAUAACUUCAGGAAACUGGGGCUAAUACCGUAUAGGAUCUCCUGCUGCAUGGUGGGGGUUGGAAAGUUUCGGCGGUUGGGGAUGGACUCGCGGCUUAUCAGCUUGUUGGUGGGGUAGUGGCUUACCAAGGCUUUGACGGGUAGCCGGCAUGAGAGGGUGACAGGAGAAAAUGGGACUGAGAUACGGACCAGACUGCUACGGGAGGCAGCAGUGGGGAAUAUUGCACAAUGGGCGGAAGCAUAAUGCAGAAACGCCGCGAGCGGGAUGACGGCAUUCGGGUUGUAAACAGCUUUCGAAUGUGACGAAGAGUGAGUGACGGUAAUGGGUAAAGAAGCACCGGCUAACUACGUG
Molecule: ribosomal RNA, 468 nt
Filed under: uncultured bacterium
Lineage: Bacteria
Description: partial 16S ribosomal RNA
Rfam family: Bacterial small subunit ribosomal RNA
Source: RNAcentral